This 350-nucleotide ribosomal RNA is filed under the name uncultured Idiomarina sp. RNAcentral describes it as "bacterial SSU rRNA". It matches the Rfam family "Bacterial small subunit ribosomal RNA", at positions 704 to 1048 of the family's 1533-position model. Lineage: Bacteria; Pseudomonadati; Pseudomonadota; Gammaproteobacteria; Alteromonadales; Idiomarinaceae. The record is from RNAcentral.
AAUNACCAGNUGGCGAAGGCGGCCACCUGGUCAAAAACUGACGCUGAGGUACGAAAGCGUGGGGAGCAAACAGGAUUAUAAUACCCUGGUAGUCCACGCCGUAAACGGUGUCAACUAGUUGUUCGUGUCAUUAACGAUGUGAGUAACGCAGCUAACGCACUAAGUUGACCGCCUGGGGAGUACGGCCGCANANGUUNAAAACUCAAAUGAAUUGACGGGGGCCCGCACAAGCGGUGGAGCAUGUGGUUUAAUUCGAUGCAACGCGAAGAACCUUACCAUCCCUUGACAUCCAGUGAAUUUUCUAGAGAUAGAUUAGUGCCUUCGGGAACACUGAGACAGGUGCUGCAUGG